CGAAGCAACGCGAAGAACCUUACCAAAUCUUGACAUCCUUUGACAACUCUAGAGAUAGAGCCUUCCCCUUCGGGGGACAAAGUGACAGGUGGUGCAUGGUUGUCGUCAGCUCGUGUCGUGAGAUGUUGGGUUAAGUCCCGCAACGAGCGCAACCCUUAAGCUUAGUUGCCAUCAUUAAGUUGGGCACUCUAAGUUGACUGCCGGUGACAAACCGGAGGAAGGUGGGGAUGACGUCAAAUCAUCAUGCCCCUUAUGAUUUGGGCUACACACGUGCUACAAUGGACAAUACAAAGGGCAGCGAAACCGCGAGGUCAAGCAAAUCCCAUAAAGUUGUUCUCAGUUCGGAUUGUAGUCUGCAACUCGACUACAUGAAGCUGGAAUCGCUAGUAAUCGUAGAUCAGCAUGCUACGGUGAAUACGUUCCCGGGUCUUGUACACACCGCCCGUCACACCACGAGAGUUUGUAACACCCGAAGCCGGUGGAGUAACCUUUUAGGAGCUAGCCGUCGAAGGUGGGACAAAUGAUUGGGGUGAAGUCGUAACAAGGUAGCCGUAUCGGAAGGUGCGGCUGGAUCACCUCCUUU
This 583-nucleotide ribosomal RNA is filed under the name Staphylococcus aureus. Its description in RNAcentral is "bacterial SSU rRNA". It matches the Rfam family "Bacterial small subunit ribosomal RNA", at positions 952 to 1533 of the family's 1533-position model. The record is from RNAcentral. Lineage: Bacteria; Bacillati; Bacillota; Bacilli; Caryophanales; Staphylococcaceae.